AUGAAAGUGAGAGCAUAUGAACUCGGGACGAGGCUGUGGCUGUGUAAGCCGGCACGCAAAUUCUGAGUCAUGUAGGACGGUAACAAGGGAACGGACUGUGUCAUACUGCAUUAGCCUCAAACACACACACACAUACAACCACACCAACCAACACACACACACACACACACACACACACACACACACACACACACACACACACACACACACACACACACACACACACACACACACAC
Molecule: long non-coding RNA, 236 nt
Organism: Gadus chalcogrammus (walleye pollock)
Lineage: Eukaryota; Metazoa; Chordata; Actinopteri; Gadiformes; Gadidae
Exons: 2
Source: RefSeq, a predicted model, not a curated record